UAAUUGAAGAGUUUGAUCAUGGCUCAGAUUGAACGCUGGCGGCAGGCCUAACACAUGCAAGUCGGGCGGUAACAGGGAGAAGCUUGCUUCUCCGCUGACGAGCGGCGGACGGGUGAGUAAUGUAUGGGGAUCUGCCUGAUGGCGGGGGAUAACUACUGGAAACGGUAGCUAAUACCG
Molecule: ribosomal RNA, 177 nt
Filed under: Morganella morganii
Lineage: Bacteria; Pseudomonadati; Pseudomonadota; Gammaproteobacteria; Enterobacterales; Morganellaceae
Description: partial 16S ribosomal RNA
Rfam family: Bacterial small subunit ribosomal RNA
Source: RNAcentral